Triticum aestivum (bread wheat) is the source of this 2106-nucleotide long non-coding RNA. RefSeq lists it as uncharacterized. Lineage: Eukaryota; Viridiplantae; Streptophyta; Magnoliopsida; Poales; Poaceae. The record is from RefSeq and is a predicted model, not a curated record. The transcript has 4 exons.
AGCGAACCCUAGGGAGAGACAGAGCGACUGACCGACGAUGAUGGCGACUGAGUGAGGCGAUGUAGCGUCGGACUGGGCCGAUGGGCCGCUUACUUUUCUUGUGUUCCCACCCGAGCGAGAAAGCUGGCGCAGGCUAGUUUCUGCUCGUAUCGUUCGAUGGCUGAUGGACGGUGCAGCGCGAAGAACGUCCCUCGGCAGUAGAACUUCCCAAGUCAGACCAUUUUCGGUAACUGACGGAAGAGAGAGGGAGAACAGGCGACCGACACGCAAAUGUAGUUCCUCAUGCAGCCAAUCAGGAGAUCCACUCUGAUUGAGGAGGUCGGAGAGAGUAUGGUGUCAGAAGAUUCGGCGCCGCAGCAGGCCACGGGUGUGCGCGGUGAAAAGCUGAUCUGCGGGGCGUCUGGAGCGGCGGUAAUCGACGGGGAAGAUGAAUCCCCAGGCUCUUGGUUGGAAUAAGAGGGUGAGGAUCGGUGCUGCUGCCCCUGGAAGGACGCCUUGAGGCAUCGGAAUUGCCCACCGGGAAGAUGAACCUGCAGGCACUUGGUUGGGCUAAGAGGUGCGUCCUCAUUAAUCUCGGUGUGUAGUUUUCAAUUUUUAGCUGGCAUGGAGCAGGUUUGCAUGAAUAGGUUUGGGCAUCUGGUAAUUUUCUUAGACUGAGUUCUGGUGGGCAUGAUGGUGUGUAAUGGAUUAUCAGAUGUAGAUCCCCUAGUAAACUUUUGUGGAGAAUCGUUAAAUUUUUGAGUGAAUAGGGCAUUCGUAUUUUGCAAGACAGUUGGGAAUGUUCGGCUUUUAAUUAUUGACACAGAAAAUAGAGAAGUAUAAUGUUGAACCUGAUGCAAUUUUUCGUUGAUCUUCAGAAUUGAGUAAGUGCCGGUAUCCUGCAAGAUUUAAUAUAUGUGGCUAGAAUUCCGGGUACAUGGCCUGUGGAAUUAUAGUGUGAUGACAAUUAGCAAUGGAUUGUCAGAUGUAAAUCCGUAGUCUAAACUGGUAUAUCUAUCUCCGCCGUGGUAGAUGGCGAAUCCGGGGUGCUCUAAUCUCUAAUUUGCGGACUAUCUUUUUUUAUGGCCAUGGUUGUGUGCAGGUUCCCGUUUGUUGACGAGGUGGAUGAGAGCGCAGUUCCAAUGGAUCCGGCGGAUCCGGUUGACGUGGUUUCGUUCCAGCGACACGCAAGGGGGCUGGCAGUUCGCCGGCGCUGGCCAUGAGUGCGGCCGCACAGAUCUGUGAGGAGGGAAGGGGUGGGGAGGAUAGACGUGAGUCGUCAUGGCAGGUAUCGGAAAUUUCCACGGGGAAGAUGACCCCGCCGCCACCCAGAUGGGCUAAGGCCCUCCACUAUGUGCUCAAUGCCACAUUUCUGAAAAGCAGGCCACUUACAUGCAGAUGCCAGUUAAACUUUUUUUAGCACUGGUCACACAGUGUAGGAGAUUUGGCAUCGACGCCAGCUCGGGCCCAAGCACAUAUAAACUAGUAAUAAAUUACCCAACAAACAGUGUCUUGGGCUGUUGGUUCUCGUAAGAAAGGACAGUGACAUGCUUAGAAUUUUUUUACUUGGCACCGGGCUGGACAAUGUAGGGCAUCGGUGCUAAAUGUCAAAAAGCAAACUUGGCACCGGUUAUGGCCUACAUAGUGGAAGGCUUAAGAGGUUAGUCAGCUCGAAUCCCUUAUGCAUUUUUUCCAUUUACUAAACUUUGGAAAUUGAUAUAGUUGCGGAAGUUUGCAUUUGAGAAAAUUGUAAGGGCGUAUGCAGAGAACCUGUCAGAGAACGUCAUUGUGCCGAUGUUGGGCGCAAGCUUUGAUUCGCUAGCAACCUCGGAAGCGCUGAUGUCAACCUCAGAAGUGUGCGAGGUGUAAGAAUUGUGGGGUUGAGGGCCAUAGGAGAAACACCUGCACGGCUGCACCAAGGCAAUGGAGAUGAGGUUAGCAAAUGUGUGAUGCUGGAGUGUAGUGCAUAGUGCUAGGUCUGACGGGCUGUUUUUGGUUAGUUGUAAACCUAUGCUGUUGUGUUCUGGAUUAUUUCUGGUUUUGCGUUGCACUGAUUUGCACUUGGCAAGCUGAAAUACAGUUAAAAAUCUGGCUUUGUUUCAGUUAAUUAAUUGCCCAUGGUGGGAA